CAUAGCCUCCCCCGCCGCCACCAUGUUUGCCAUCUAACGCCGCCACCCCAAGCCUGGUCCUCCCGUGGAUCUGCCGUCCUCCGCCAGCCCACUCCCUCCCUUCUCCACCAGCCCUCCGCCGAUGGUGACGCGGGAAACCACGAGCGGCGGUUGCCGUGGAGGAGGCCAUGGUGAGCGCUUCCGGCACCGACCGUCCGUGAGUGCCGGCGGCCAUCCGCGUUUCUCCUCGAUUGGGCCAAUGCCAUUACGACGAGACGGCGCGGCCGGCGAUGGAGUAGUUCACCGGCUUCCACUCCUCUACUAUUUUGGCACCUCCCCCUUGUGUGCCGUCUCCAACCGGUGGCGUCGUGGCCCUACUUUGCUGAGAUCCACAUCGUUGUGCUCCUAUUUCGACUGGAACAAUCCAGCCACUCGUGUUGAGACCAGGUUCCUCGACGGCGGCGCCACCGUCUCCAACAGUCACUAGAUGCAUCUUGAUCGGGUGAGACUGAUGAGAAUCAUUCGCAAGUGGUGGCGGUGGACGGCUAGAGCCACCUCCCUCCGCCGCCAGCAGAUCAUCUCCAACAUGGAGCGCAGAGAAUGCAGUAGGCUGACCUGCUAGCGCUACUCAUGGACCAGAUCUUUAACUAAAGCUCGAUCCACCACAUUGACAAGAAGUUCCUCGUUAAGGACUCAGUGUGCUGAUGCCUCUUUUACAGAAGCUCCAGUCAUAUGACAUUUGAAGAAGCCAGCAAAAAGUAGCGUCUUAUAUUUAUUGUAAUAAUAGGCCUACAUAUUGUAACUUUCAAAUUUCAGUGUUAUUUGAAGAAUUUCAUGUGUUC
Molecule: long non-coding RNA, 821 nt
Organism: Lolium rigidum
Lineage: Eukaryota; Viridiplantae; Streptophyta; Magnoliopsida; Poales; Poaceae
Exons: 4
Source: RefSeq, a predicted model, not a curated record